AUGCAUUGUUUGCUGAUUUUUGUGGAUACACGGUACAGUGUUGUUGUUCCAAUAAUUGGUGUUCAGGUACACACAACAGUAAUUUUAUCAAUACGGGUUUGGGACAAAAUAGCACCUGCUAUGGCUUCACACUUUGAUGCUCCCUACUCAGUUCCUCCGAUUGAACCACGUCCACUCCUCCUAAAUGGUGCUGACGACCCUCGUUGCCCAGUCCUUGGUCUACAAGAACCUGCCUCAAAAGCUGCUGAGGCUUAUGCAGAAGCUGGUUCUGCGGAUAAGUUCAAGGAUCCAAAGAACUAG
RNAcentral lists this ribosomal RNA (300 nucleotides) under Triticum aestivum (bread wheat). Its description in RNAcentral is "partial small subunit ribosomal RNA". The record is from RNAcentral. Lineage: Eukaryota; Viridiplantae; Streptophyta; Magnoliopsida; Poales; Poaceae.